This 468-nucleotide ribosomal RNA is filed under the name uncultured bacterium. Its description in RNAcentral is "partial 16S ribosomal RNA". It matches the Rfam family "Bacterial small subunit ribosomal RNA", at positions 28 to 507 of the family's 1533-position model. The record is from RNAcentral.
GACGAACGCUGGCGGCGGGCUUAACACAUGCAAGUCGAACGGCAAGGCCCUGCUUUUGUGGGGUGCUGGAGUGGCGAACGGGUGAGUAACACGUGAUUAACCUGCCCAUGACUUUCGGAUAACUUCAGGAAACUGGGGCUAAUACCGGAUAGGAGCUCCUGCUGCAUGGUGGGGGUUGGAAAGCUUCGGCGGUUGGGGAUGGACUCGCGGCUUAUCAGCGUGUUGGUGGGGUAGUGGCUUACCAAGGCUUUGACGGGUAGCCGGCCUGAGAGGGUGACCGGCCACAUUGGGACUGAGAUACGGCCCAGACUCCUACGGGAGGCAGCAGUGGGGAAUAUUGCACAAUGGGCGGAAGCCUGAUGCAGCAACGCCGCGUGCGGGAUGACGGCCUUCGGGUUGUAAACCGCUUUCGCCUGUGACGAAGCGUGAGUGACGGUAAUGGGUAAAGAAGCACCGGCUAACUACGUG